This 372-nucleotide ribosomal RNA is filed under the name uncultured bacterium. Its description in RNAcentral is "bacterial SSU rRNA". It matches the Rfam family "Bacterial small subunit ribosomal RNA", at positions 527 to 898 of the family's 1533-position model. The record is from RNAcentral.
GUAGGUCCCGAGCGUUGUCCGGAUUUAUUGGGCGUAAAGCGAGCGCAGGCGGUUAGAUAAGUCUGAAGUUAAAGGCUGUGGCUUAACCAUAGUACGCUUUGGAAACUGUUUAACUUGAGUGCAGAAGGGGAGAGUGGAAUUCCAUGUGUAGCGGUGAAAUGCGUAGAUAUAUGGAGGAACACCGGUGGCGAAAGCGGCUCUCUGGUCUGUAACUGACGCUGAGGCUCGAAAGCGUGGGGAGCGAACAGGAUUAGAUACCCUGGUAGUCCACGCCGUAAACGAUGAGUGCUAGGUGUUAGGCCCUUUCCGGGGCUUAGUGCCGCAGCUAACGCAUUAAGCACUCCGCCUGGGGAGUACGACCGCAAGGUUGAA